RNAcentral lists this non-coding RNA (24 nucleotides) under Rattus norvegicus (Norway rat). The record is from RNAcentral. Lineage: Eukaryota; Metazoa; Chordata; Mammalia; Rodentia; Muridae.
GUACGGAUCCAUCUUCAUAAUUGG